Molecule: ribosomal RNA, 119 nt
Filed under: Lepisosteus oculatus (spotted gar)
Lineage: Eukaryota; Metazoa; Chordata; Actinopteri; Semionotiformes; Lepisosteidae
Source: RNAcentral
AAUAGCAGCCACAUCACCCUGUAACUCCCAGCUGGCAGCCCACUGGAGCUCAGCAGGUGUGAGCCUGGUCAGUACCUGGAUGGGAGACCUCCUGGGAAAAACUAAGGUUGCUGCUGGAA